AUUUACUUGAUUGCCUGAUUGAUCAAUAACAAGAUCACUUGCUGAUUGAGAACCCUAAGAUGGCAGGGGUAAAGUCAAAAUCGGACAACAGUAAAAUUACAGGAAGAAGACCUUCGCAAUCAGAAGAGGUUAACUUGAGAGAUAUUUUGAAAGAAAUUCAGAGACUGGCAAUAAAACAGGAUGAAUACCAAAAAGAAUCUCAGACAAAACUGGAUAAACAAAGCAUUCAGCAAAGGGAAAUAUGUGAGGAAACAGCAAAACAUCUUACAAAAAAAAGAUGGAUGACUUUGAACACAAAAAUGAAAAAAUCGAGAAAAUAGAAAAACUGCAGGAGAAACUUGAACAAAAUGAGAGAGAGUUCCAGCUACGAUUUCGGAAUGUGCAGGAGGAAGCAAAAGAAGAUAUCCGGCAGCUGGUAACUAAAAUGCUAGCUAACCUCUUAAAACGGCCAGAAGAAAGCAUGGAUAACGAAAUUGACAAAAUCUAUCGAAUCCAAACUAAUUUCUCAAGAAGAAACAAAGUAGCGAGAGAUAUCAUCGUUCACUUUGUAAAAAAAAGGAUAAGGGACGAGACCCUAAUCCAAAACAGUCGAAACCCAAUGUAUUAUAAAGGUAAAAAAGUAAUUGUACUAAAAGAAUUCCCACAAGCAACACUAAACAGAAGAAGGAAGUACUUCUUUCUGACUGAUGAACUGAAACGGCUGAAAAUAAGAUUCCGAUGGGAGAAAAAAGAAGGUAUAAUGGUUACAUAUAAAGAGGAAAAACAUUGGCUAACCUCAGAAGAGAAGGCCAAAGAUUUUUACAAGAAGCAUAUAAAAGGAAAAAGUGAAACACCCCCAGAAACUACUCCCCCCUCAGUCAAAAGAAAGAAAGCUAAAAGAGCCAGACAUCAUUCGGAGGAAAAACAGAAAUCUAGAAUGGAUACAUUUUAUAAAUUAGUAAACGUGACGGAUGAAGGAGAAGAAGAGGGAUCUGAGGAAGAAGAAGACGCAGAGGAGAAGGAAGCGGAAGAAGAAGAAGAGGGAAUUACGACGGGAAAAGAACAGGAAUCGGAGGACGACAAAGCACAGACGACACCUGAUGACCCCCACGAAACUGAUGAUGAGUAAGAAUGUAGUUCUAAACCACUUAAAAUUUAUUCUAACAAUAUAAAUGGAUUAAAUUCCCCAAUUAAAAGAAGAAGCUUAAUGUCCCAAUUGGGGAAAAACAAUUAUGACAUUACGGCAUUACAAGAGACCCACAUUGCAGCAAAACAUAGUAUACACCUGGUAAAUAGGAAAAUUAUAUCAUGUGACUCAACCAAAAAGAGGGGAGUGGUAUUAUAUAUUAAAGAAAAAAUCCCAGCUUCACUUCAGUUUAAAGACAUAGAGGGCAGAUAUAUAGCAGUAAAAAUUGAAAUUGACCAACAGUCUAUUCUCAUCUGUAACAUAUACGCCCCGAAUGGCCCCAAAACAAAAUUUAUAAGUGAAUUGAGGAAGCAUAUUUCAGAGGCUAAAUUCGACCAUUUGAUUCUUUUAGGAGACUUUAAUGGAAUUUUAAACACCGAAUUAGACACUAGUAAGAAAAUCAAGAGCAGAAAUUACGAAAAAACGAGACUACUCCCAAACAAUUUCAUAAGGCUGAAAGAAGAAUUUGACCUACAGGAUGCCUGGCGUUAUCAUAACCCAAGCGUACGCGAUUACACAUUUUAUUCGGACAGACAUAAAUCUUGGGCAAGAAUUGAUAUGAUUUGGCUCUCAAAUUCACUAUGCACUAGGAUAAAAGAGAUAAAAAUACAACCUCGAGAUAAAUCAGACCACUGUCCUCUUAUUAUUAGUAUCAAUAAAACAAAACGUAGUUUCAAAUGGAGAAUGGAUGAAAAUUUACUAAAAUUGGAGGCAGAUAUAAAUAAGAAUAAGAAAUUAGUGAAAGAGUUUUUCGAUUUGAACAACACACCAGAUAUAAAAGAACAAACAAUGUGGGAUGCAUUUAAAGCCGUAUUAAGAGGAUAUCUGAUCCAACAAAAAGCGGAGAAAAAUAGAAAGAAGAAUAAAGAACUAGAAGAUAUUAUGAAAGAAAUAAGGGGCUUUGAAGACCAAUUGAAAAAACAUCCGUCAAAUACGGAAAUAAUAAAAGAAUUAAAACUACGGAAAAAUAAGAAAAUAACGAAGGAAUUAGAGGCAACGGCAAAACAAUUAAAAUAUAUAAAACAAUACAAUUUUGAAAACGCGAACAAACCAGGUACUUGGCUAGCAAGAAAACUAAGAAAGAAUAAACAGCAGCAACAAAUAUCUAAGAUAAUUAGAGAUGGGAAACUAUAUGUAACGGACAAGGAAAUCCUAGGGGCAUUCAGGGAAUUUUAUGCUGAGUUAUACAAGAAAGAGGAGAUAAACCCAGAUAAAAUAUCCCAAUACUUGGGUGGACUUCAACUACCCAAAAUAACAGAACAACAGAGAGAAAGUUUAAAUAAAGAGAUAACAAUAGAGGAAAUUAAGAAAGUGUUAAAAGCAAUGAAACCAAACAAGGCACCUGGGCCAGAUGGUUUCCCAGUGUGCUUCUAUAAGGCACUACAAGAGGAGUCUUUACCGUACCUACAUAAAAUUAUGAAUAAGGUGUUGGCAAAGGGGGAGAUCCCGGAUUCUUGGUCUCAAGCAGAUAUAAUCGCUAUCCCAAAAGAAAAUGGGGAUUCAACUGAUAUGAGAAACUUUAGACCAAUUUCCUUACUAAACUCAGAUUAUAAAAUAUUUACAACAAUACUUGCGAACAGAUUCAAGGAACUUUUACAAAGUUGGAUUGGCCCAGAACAAAAAGGUUUUUUACCCGGUAGAAAUAUAAAUAAAAAUUUAAGAUGUAUAGUUGAUAUUAUUGAAUACUAUGAAUGGCAUCAUGAGAAAGAAUUAGCUUUACUUGCCAUAUACGCGGAAAAAGCAUUCGAUAAUUUAAAUUGGACCUUUUUUAAAUUACUUCUGAAAGAAGUAGAUAUAGGAUACCAAUUUUCAAACGCCAUUGAAGCAAUUUAUAACAAACAAGCGGCGAGCCUACUGAUCAAUGGACAACAGACAAAGCCCUUCGAGAUAGAAAAGGGGACAAGACAGGGAUGCCCCCUGUCACCACUCAUUUUUAUUUUUGCAUUGGAAACUCUAAUUAUCAAUAUUCAUAAAGAUCAAGGGUUAAAAGGAACAAAAAUAAGAAACCAGGAGUACAAAAUUCGAGCCUUUGCUGACGAUAUAAUUUGUAUAAUUGAAGAACCAAAACACCAAAUAAAUAAUUGGAUUACUAAAAUAGAAGAAUUUGGAAAACUAGCAGGAUGCAAAAUAAAUAAAUUAAAAUCAAAAAUUUUGACAAAAAAUAUCACCAAGGAAAGCCAAGGAAAACUUCAAGAGGUCUCAGGCAUAAAUGUAACAUCGAAACUUAAACACCUGGGCAUUAUACUAACGGCGAAAAAUGCUCAGUUAUUAAAGAAUAAUUAUCAAGAAAAAUGGAGGGCAAUCCAAAAAGACCUUAACCGGUGGAAAUUUAUGAACAUCUCUCUAUUAGGACGAAUAGCAAUAAUUAAAAUGAAUGUUUUGCCAAAAUUACUUUACUUAUUUCAAAAUUUACCAAUUAUUAGGAACAUAAAAAUUUUUAAUGAAUGGAAUAGAGAAAUAUCAAAAUUCAUAUGGAAAAAUAAAAAACCAAGGAUUAAAUACACAGUGUUGACAGAUGCGAAUAACAGAGGGGGAUUUGGUAUGCCGAACUUAAAAUUAUACUACGAAGCGUGCGCCCUAAAAUGGGUUAAAGAAUGGAUAAAUUUGACAGACGAAAAUAUCUUAACAUUGGAAGGAUUUGACCUUCGCAGGGUCUGGCACGCCUAUUUAUGGCAAGAGAAGAGAUUGGUAGAAAAAAACUUCAGCAACCAUUUCAUCAGGGCUUCAUUGAUAAAAAUUUGGGAAAGAUACAAAAACUUUUGUUACAACAAAACACCUCUGUGGGUUUCACCAUUGGAAGCGAAUCAAAGACACAUAUUAGGCUGGAAAGUCUGGCCAAGAUACAAGGAUAUACUAAAAAAAUCCGAAGGUACAUAUAUAAUGAAAAAUAUGGAAGAAUUGAGAGUUAAAUUUAGGAACUUAACUUGGUUUCAGUACGCACAACUAAAAGAACAAUUUAAAAAAGACAACUCCAGGGGUUUUUGUGAAGAGGAAGUAAUAUGGGACAGAAUAUUACAAAUUAAAAGGAAGGAAAUAUCGAAGAUUUAUAAUAUCUUACUGGACUGGUCUACUGAAACUGAAUCUGUAAAGCAAUGUAUGAUUAACUGGGCAAGGAAUAUUGGUCGUCCAAUAAAAUUUGAAGAAUGGGAACUAAUUUGGAACAAAAAACUAAAAUAUACAUAUGCCUGGGACCUAAAGGAGAAUUGGUUAAAAAAUUUUCACAGGUGGUAUAUGACUCCUAAAAAACUAGCACUUAUGUAUAAAAAUUAUGGUAAUAGAUGUUGGAAAUGUAAAAUACAUGAAGGAUCUUUCUACCACCUAUGGUGGACUUGUGAAAAAGUACAAAAAUUUUGGAGAACAAUUCACGAAGAGACUCAAAAAAUAUUGGACAAAAAGUUCCUCAUGAAGCCUGAACUAUAUUUAUUAGGUAUUGUGGACACUUCAAUAGAUUUGAGUACAAAUGAUGACAAACUUCUUAUAUAUAUCUCAUCAGCGGCCAGAAUAAUUUUAGCAAAACAAUGGAAAACUGAACAGAUCCUAGAGAUUGAGCAGUGGCUGGAGAAGAUAGAUGAAAUAAAGAAUAUGGACAAACUUACUUGGUAUUUGAAAGAAAUCAGAGGAAAACCGAUAAAGAAGACAAACUGGGAAAAAGUGGACAUGCAUUUUCAACAAAGGUAUAAGAAGAAACGAACCGGGACAAUGUAAGAAAGUUAACCUAAAAAAACACAGUACCGAGAUAAGAGGAAAGAACGGAAGUUUUGUUUUGUAGCAACCCCCUCCCCUCCUUUCCUAACCCUGACUUUCCUCAUGUUCCUAUUUGUGUAUCACUUCUCUUUUGAACUUCCUUCCUUCCCCUCCCCCCUUUUCUCCCUUUUCUCCCCCUUCACUGUUAUCCUCACAGGUAUUCCCUGUUUUUAAAAUGUUUUGUAUGUUACAUUGUUUGUUAUCCACUUAUCUUUUCAAUAAAAAUUAAUAAAAAAAAGAAUUGGGUAAAAAAUAAUAAAGAGGGGAAGGAACCUAACCAAUUUGAACAAAUAAUACAAAAUGGAAGGGAUACAGAUGAUUAUAAAAAAUUGAAAGGUGUAACUGGUAGAAUCUAUAGGAUAUUGGGUGGAAAGUGGAAUAAAAUAAGGAGAGAGAAAAAUACCAUUCUUAAGGAAAUAUGGGAGGAGGAAUUAGAGAUGAAAAUAAAUGGAAUGGAAUGGUCACAAUUGUGGAAACAAAGGCAUUUGAAAAAUUCAUCAAUAAGAGUCAAAGAAAAUUAUUAUAAGAUAAUUUGGAAAUGGUAUUUAACGCCAUUAAAAUGUCAAAUAUUAAUAAAAACCAUCCAAAAAUUGCUGGAGAGGUUGUCAGGAAGUGGGAACAUAUAUACAUAUGUGGUGGAAUUGUAAAUAUGUAAGGAAAUUUUGGUAUAAAAUAUUUAAAGAGAUAGAUGAUAUAAUGAACAUCAAAUUGGAAAGAAGACCUGGUAUUGCAUUAUUAUCCAUUUAUAAUAACAAUAAUAUGUGGAUAAAAAAAGAAAAAGAAGCAAUAACAAAUUUAUUGACAAUAGCAAGAUUGCUUAUAGCAAGGAAUUGGAGAAAAGUAAUAAAUGUUCAGAUUGAAGAAUGGUAUAAGGAAGUAUGGAAAUUGGCAAUAAAUGAUAAGCUAACAUGCAAAUUAAAAGUUAAAAGAGGGAUAUGGAAAAAAAUGAUUUUGAGGAUGUAUGGGGGAAAUUUAUUGAGAAAGGACUCCAAAAAAGGGAUGGAUGGCUACUGCCUCAGGAAGAAUUGAGAUUUUGGUUAGACAAUACAUAAGAAAUGGCUCGGGGUGGGAGGGAGGGAUACACAGUGGUGAAGAAAUAUAGAUGGACAGAUGUUAACAUUGUAGUAGAUAUAAAUCAACAGUAGAUAUAAAAGAAUAAUGCAAGUAUUGUAUGAUACAUUAUCUAUCUGCUAUGUGAUAAAAGUAAUUAUUGUAUGAAAAAAUUAAAUUCAAUAAAAACUAUUUAAAAUUAAAAAAGGAAGACCUUGUGGGCCAUUCAGUCCAACUCUCUGCCAAGAAGCAGGAAAAUCGCGUGCAAAGCACUCCCGACAGAUGGCCAUCCAGCCUCUGCUUAAAAGCCUCCAAAGAAGGAGCCUCCACCACACUCCAGGGCAGAGGGUUCCACUGCUGAACAGCUCUCACAGUGAGGAAGUUUUUCCUAAUGUUCAGGUGGAAUCCCCUUUACUGUAGUUUGAAGCCAUUGUUCUGCUUUCUAGUCUCCAGGGCAGCAGAAAGCUUGCACCCUCCUCCCUAUGACUUCCCCUCAUGGCUAUCAUGUCUCCUCUCAGCCUUCUCUUUUGCAGGCUAGACAUACCCAGCUCUUUAAGCCACUCCUCAUGGGGCUUGUUCUCCAGACCCUUGAUCAUUUUUGUUGCCCUCCUCUGGACACAUCUCAGAAAUGUUAAUCUUUAAAAGCCUUCUGGAAGAACAACAAGGGCUAGAUUUGCACUGCCAUAUAAUCCAGUUCAAUGCAGUUAAUCUGUAUUCUGAAACUGGAAUAUAUUGCAAUGUAGAUCCAGUCAGGGAGGGGGCCAUUCUGGCCUCCCUAUGUCAAGAAAUCUUAUUUAGUUAAGUAUACCUAACUAAAUACCUGAUGUAGAAUACCAACCAGUAUUUGGAUAUUAGAAGAGGUGAAGAAGAAUUUUAAAGGGAUGUACCCCUAUCCACUUUGGAUUAUAGGCCACCUCUGCUGCAUAUCUGAACAAGAAAUACAGAGCAAAAGCUAUAUCAUUAGUGCCAUUCUAGACAUAUCUGUUGAGAAGUAAAUGCCAUUAACUCCAGCUUACAACUCCUGUCAUUUUAUUGCAUUAUAGCUCCCAUCCUGCACCAAAAAAAAUGCUUGAUAGAUAAAUAUCAGCCUGUAUUAUCUCUACAAUUCUGGGUAGACACCACAUGUUAUUCUUAAAAGGUGGUAAAUGUGACUUGUAGCCCCACACAACGUUGGGGGAUUUCUGUAAAUAGAUGUGGUGAGGACUUCCUGAUCAUGUUUGCCUUGUCAUCUAUCUACCAGUCUAGGUAGGGCUCCUUGACAUUUGGCAACUUCCUUUUGCUACUGAAAGUCUAUUCUGUUCAUCUGCUACUUGCUUCCAGCAUGGCUGGAGAAACUGUUUAUGCUGAUCUCACAGUCUCCUCUGAAGCACUCUCUCCAAGGCUGCAGCCAUGGAUCUGUGCUUCUCAGUGUCCUCACAGGCAAAAGAUCGCUCUAUGGAUUGCAUGCAUUGGGAAUGUUAUCCUUCUGGCAUCUCUGGUUGUCUUGGCUUUGCAGUUGGAGAACAAGAAAGGAAAGAGUAGGGUGAAUGACAGCAAAUGGACUAACAUGGUGGAAUGUAAUACCUCUUCAGACAAAUUUAAGUAUCAUCUAAGAAGCACACUAUGCAACCAAACCUCAGUGAAUUCCACUUGCCAAGUUUGUUCUCAACAUUGGCAUCUCCACAAGCACAAGUGCUACCAGUUCCCAUCAACAAACACUCUUAAAAGUUGGAAUGACAGCCAAGAUGACUGCUCUGCAAGGAACGCUCAACUGCUGGUAAUCCAAGACAUGGAGGAUUUGGAUUUUGUAACAAAAAAUAUGCUGGAUAUGCAUUAUACCUAUUGGAUUGGACUUUUGUGGUCAUUACCAAUGAAGAAAUGGAAAUGGGCUACAGGAUCCCAGGUCAACCAUGAUGUGUUCAAAGAACAAAACAUUCAGGAAGAAAAGUACUGUGGAACAAUAAAAAACAAGAAAAUUGUAUCUGAAACCUGCAGCACUGUGUUAAGGUGGAUUUGCCAAAAGGACCCCAUUUUUAUAUGACAUUACAUGUUGGUGCACAAGAUAAUAUGCUAUUUUGUUAUUUGCUAUACUCACAGAUAUAGAAAUAUGGAAACAGAAGUAUCAUACACAAUAAGAGUACUCUGGCUCUCCAUAUAAAAUAAGUUUGUUUCAAGAUACUAAGCUGAAAGAGAAUGCUUUACUUUCUGGAAGGUGUCAAAAGGUUGUGCUAACACAGGCAUGGGCAAACUUUGGCCCUCCAGGUGUUUUGGACUUCACCUCCCACAAUUCCUGGUCUCAGGCUUCUUCCUUUUCACCUUCCGCCAAGCGGCAGAGUGGGGAAAGGGCCUGAGGCCAGGAAUUGUGGGAGUCCAAAACACCUGGAGGGCCAAUGUUUGCCCAUACCUGGGCUAACAGUAUGAUUGCAGGUCAGCUUGUACACUUUGUGAUUCAUGAAGGCACAGUUAUCUUGCUUUCUGUAUUGUUAAAGCAGUAUCUGCAGAGAAAAGAGUCUUAAUCUGAAAACUAUGCAUACGUCAGCUACAUGUCCUGUCUACAAACCUUACAUAUUUAUGAACGUGAAUGUGGGUCUAUGGACAGGUAUCUUUAAGAAAGAGAUGACUAAAACAGUGGAGAUUGGAAGUGCCAAGCACAGUUUAAGAAGCCUCUGGCAAUGAUGCUCCCUUUCUAUAGUGUUUUUACAGUUUACACCUCUCAGCUGCAGUUUUCCUUGUCUUCUGUAUAGCUGGACGUUUCUGUACAGCAUCAGCACAUAGAGAGGGAGGCCUUUAGAAACAGACAUGUAGUACUGGAUUGUGCAGUUUGUCUGCUAUAACCCUUGGAAUAAAACUUGAGUUGAAAUGGGGUUCUAGUCCAGCUAAUCCUACUAUAGCUCUGUGUUCCUCCCCACAACAAAAAAGGUAAACAGUAGUUGUCUUCAGGAUCUCAUAAUCAUACAUGAACAGCAAGCAAUUUACUGCACCACUAUCCCCAUUUUAUUUUGAAAAGCAUAGAUAUAAGUUUGAUGAGAAACAGAAAUCAUAAGAAUAGUGGAGGUUAGUGAAAGGAAAAAAAACCCUCAGUCUCUGGAAAAUUCAGAUAUUAUUGUUGUUGUUGUUGUUGUUGUUGUUGUUGUUGUUGUUGUACAGGGGUUGCCAGGGCUCUUUCUUUCACAUUUAACAUGUAGUUGUUAUUCGUCUGGAAUAAAACGUUUGCUGAAA
Molecule: RNA transcript, 9157 nt
Organism: Anolis carolinensis (green anole)
Lineage: Eukaryota; Metazoa; Chordata; Lepidosauria; Squamata; Anolidae
Gene name: killer cell lectin-like receptor subfamily B member 1C
Exons: 6
Source: RefSeq, a predicted model, not a curated record